RNAcentral lists this ribosomal RNA (450 nucleotides) under uncultured bacterium. RNAcentral describes it as "bacterial SSU rRNA". It matches the Rfam family "Bacterial small subunit ribosomal RNA", at positions 354 to 796 of the family's 1533-position model. The record is from RNAcentral.
GUGGGGAAUUUUGGACAAUGGGGGAAACCCUGAUCCAGCAAUGCCGCGUGAGUGAAGAAGGCCUUCGGGUUGUAAAGCUCUUUUGUCAGGGAAGAAACGGUGUCGAAUAAUACACGAUACUAAUGACGGUACCUGAAGAAUAAGCACCGGCUAACUACGUGCCAGCAGCCGCGGUAAUACGUAGGGUGCGAGCGUUAAUCGGAAUUACUGGGCGUAAAGCGUGCGCAGGCGGUUAUGCAAGACAGAUGUGAAAUCCCCGAGCUUAACUUGGGAAUUGCAUUUGUGACUGCAUAACUAGAGUGUGUCAGAGGGAGGUAGAAUUCCACGUGUAGCAGUGAAAUGCGUAGAUAUGUGGAGGAAUACCGAUGGCGAAGGCAGCCUCCUGGGAUAACACUGACGCUCAUGCACGAAAGCGUGGGGAGCAAACAGGAUUAGAAACCCCAGUAGUCC